GCCCGGUCCCAUUCCGAACCCGGAAGCUAAGACCCACAGCGCCGAUGGUACUGCACUCGCGAGGGUGUGGGAGAGUAGGACACCGCCGGAC
RNAcentral lists this ribosomal RNA (91 nucleotides) under Arthrobacter sp. Lineage: Bacteria; Bacillati; Actinomycetota; Actinomycetes; Micrococcales; Micrococcaceae. The record is from RNAcentral.